RNA transcript from Ziziphus jujuba (common jujube), 1571 nucleotides. It is a transcript of the gene named probable plastid-lipid-associated protein 13, chloroplastic, with no coding region annotated. The record is from RefSeq and is a predicted model, not a curated record. The transcript is spliced from 8 exons. Lineage: Eukaryota; Viridiplantae; Streptophyta; Magnoliopsida; Rosales; Rhamnaceae.
GAAGACAAAAAGAGUGCCAAACUUGGCUGUACUGUUCACUAUAAUUUCCGUAUCUCACGGAGUUUUUUGUUUUGUUUUUAAACUCACUUCCUCCAAUGGCGUCUCUACAAAGUUCGCUCUCUGCAAUUUCUUCCAUCCGUUCUGGUUGUUCUUCAUCAACUACCACCGCCAAUUCUCCUUCCUGUAUCUCCUGGUGGCCGGAGACUGACCGAAGGAGCUCCGGCGGCAGGCUAAUUGGCCGGAGAUCCGUCAGCAGAGCAAUGGUUCAGCAGGCCGUACAGGGAGCUCCGGCCACCUAUGCCAAGGAAAUGGAGAGGCUUUCCGCUAAAGAAUCGCUUCUUCUUGCCUUUAAGGAUUCUGGGGGUUUCGAGGCUUUAGUGGCUGGAAAGACAACGGAUAUGCAGCGAAUCGAUGUGAAUGAGAGGAUAACUGGGCUUGAGCGGCUCAAUCCCACACCUCGUCCAACAACGUCGCCCUUCUUGGAAGGUCGUUGGAAUUUCGAGUGGUUUGAGUCUAGAAGCCCUGGUUUAUUUGCUGCCAGAUUCAUUUUUGAGAGAUUUCCCUCUAAUUUGGCUAAUUUGUCAAACAUGGACGUCACAAUCAAGGAUGGCUAUGCUAAGAUAACAGCCAACUUGAAAUUUUUGAACUCGAUAGAAAACAAAGUUACUCUAUCAUCAAAACUAUCUGUUGAGGGACCACUUCGAUUGAAAGAGGAAUAUGUUGAAGGGAUCCUUGAAACACCAAAGGUUAUUGAAGAAAGAGUACCGGAGCAGCUAAAAGGUGCACUUGGCCAAGCAGUUAAUACAAUACAACAACUUCCUGUUCCUCUUCGGGAUGCUCUUGCCGGCGGACUGAAAAUCCCCUUAAAUGGCUCGUACCAGAGAUUCUUCAUGAUUUCUUACCUUGAUGAUGAGAUACUUAUAAUAAGAGAUACCACUGGACUCCCUGAGGUUCUUACAAGGUUGGAUGCACCUGCAUCGCCCUUGGCAGACUCCAUCGCCGAGUAUGAGAGCUAAAGAUACUUUCAUGUAUGGGAUCUGUUUUUCUCUUCGUCUGUUUGUCAAAUUACAAUCCGCGUCCACUUUCAAUAAGAUUCUUUUUACUUUGUCAUUUUUUUGUGUAACUUCUACAAUCGGCAUGACAAGAAAAUCUAAGGUCACUCAUUAACCAGUGAAACUUAUACGUAUGUAUGAAAUUCAAGUCUAUUGACUAGGAUGGAGUGUGUGGUUGAUGCCGUAAAAUUUGACAAGUUUUUCAGGGAUAAGGAAGAAGAUAAAAUAAAUAAAUCAGAAAGGGCGGUCUGCAGUGUGAACAUCUAUGACUAUAAUGACAUGUUUUGCUUGACUAAAAUGUCGCUCCAGCUGUCUCGCUAAUCAAAGUUCCACAGCAUCUCAUCUUAAAUUCUCAAGUUUUGCCUUUUACAUACCCCGAAAACCCACUUUAUUUUUUUCUCCUUUCUUAUUGUAUUUAUAGUAAUAUUUUUGUUUGGGGUUGUAGGUAGGUUGUUUGUAUACGAUCUUACUAUUUUAGAACCAUUAAACAACUCUAUUUAUUUUGUUUAUUUUAUUUUA